Molecule: ribosomal RNA, 468 nt
Filed under: uncultured bacterium
Lineage: Bacteria
Description: partial 16S ribosomal RNA
Rfam family: Bacterial small subunit ribosomal RNA
Source: RNAcentral
GACGAACGCUGGCGGCGUGCUUAACACAUGCAAGUCGAACGGAAAGGCCCUGCUUUUGUGGGGUGCUCGAGUGGCGAACGGGUGAGUAACACGUGAGUAACCUGCCCUUGACUUUGGGAUAACUUCAGGAAACUGGGGCUAAUACCGGAUAGGAGCUCCUGCUGCAUGGUGGGGGUUGGAAAGUUUCGGCGGUUGGGGAUGGACUCGCGGCUUAUCAGCUUGUUGGUGGGGUAGUGGCUUACCAAGGCUUUGACGGGUAGCCGGCCUGAGAGGGUGACCGGCCACAUUGGGACUGAGAUACGGCCCAGACUCCUACGGGAGGCAGCAGUGGGGAAUAUUGCACAAUGGGCGGAAGCCUGAUGCAGCAACGCCGCGUGCGGGAUGACGGCCUUCGGGAUGUAAACCGCUUUCGCCUGUGACCAAGCGUGAGUGACGGUAAUGGGUAAAGAAGCACCGGCUAACUACGUG